Molecule: long non-coding RNA, 1167 nt
Filed under: Heterocephalus glaber (naked mole-rat)
Lineage: Eukaryota; Metazoa; Chordata; Mammalia; Rodentia; Bathyergidae
Description: lncRNA (ENSHGLG00000047019.1)
Source: RNAcentral
CCAUAACAGACUCCAUGCUCUUUUAAAAAGCUCUCAGGUUUCUUUCUUUCUUUCUUUCUUUCUUUCUUUCUUUCUUUCUUUCUUUCUUUCUUUCUUUCUUUCCUUCUUUCUUUCUUUCUUUCUUUCCUUCCUUCCUUCCUUCCUUCCUUCCUUCUUUCUUUCUUUCUUUCUUUCUUUCUUUCUUUCUUUCUUUCUGUACCAGGGAUCGAACUCAGGACCUUGCAAGGCAGGUGAUGGAACCACUGAGCUAAAUCCCUGGCCCAAGGUAUCUUUCUGCCUCUAGGACUUUGCUCUUGCCAUUCCCUUUGCCUGGAAUAUUCUUCCCAAUGUUGUUUAUGUUGCUCCUUUAUUUUAUUGAGAUAAGUUCUUGCUGCAUAGUUCAGGCUGGCCUUGAACUCAUGGCAAUCCUCUUGCCUCAGCCUCUGGAGUUCUGGGAUUACGUAUGUGCACUACCACACCCGGCUCCCAGUCCCCACUUUUCUUUUUCUUUUUUUUUUCUUUUAUUUUCCUGGUACCAGGGAUCAAACUCAGGACCUUGUACUUGCCAGGCAUCCGAGGCGCCACUGAGCUACAUCCCCGGCCUCCCUACUUUUCACUUAGUAAAUUACCCUUCAACUUUCAGCUCUUAUAUUAUUGACUCAUAGAACUUCUCCCAUCUUGUUUGUCAUAGUACUAAAUACAUUUGUGAGUAGGUAAUUACUUGUGAUUAAUAAAAUUUUUCCUAUGGUAUGAAGCAAAAAAUGAGAGGAGUUAGUGCCUGGCCUUUAGCAGCCUCUCUGUAAAUACAUCCUGCAGCACUGAAUGAUUCCCUCAGACUGUGAUGAAUUCUUACAGAAUCCAGAAAGCUUUCUGUGUGCCUCCGUCCAUCACUACAAUUGAAGCUCGUGCUUUUUAAUGUGUGACCUAGAGACUCCUGGGGUUUCUGGGGAUAUUGUCAGGGGCAUGGCGGUGGAAAUUACUUUCAUAAUACACUAAGAUGUUAUUUGCCUUUCACCCUCUUUUUUUCCUGGCAGGGCUGGAACUAGAACCCCGGAACUCACACAUGCUAGGCAAGUGCUCUGUUCCCGAGCUGCAUCCUCAGCACCUUCUCUCUCAUUUUCUCCUGGCACACUCCUUGGCCAUACUCACGUAGAGCAUUUGAGGAGGCAGCGAAACAAGAUCAGGAUG